Molecule: ribosomal RNA, 301 nt
Filed under: uncultured bacterium
Lineage: Bacteria
Description: partial 16S ribosomal RNA
Rfam family: Bacterial small subunit ribosomal RNA
Source: RNAcentral
CAGCCGCCGCGGUAAUACGAAGGGUGCAAGCGUUACUCGGAAUUACUGGGCGUAAAGCGUGGGUAGGUGGUGGUUUAAGUCCGUUGUGAAAGCCCUGGGCUCAACCUGGGAAUUGCAGUGGAUACUGGGUCACUAGAGUGUGGUAGAGGAUAGUGGAAUUCCCGGUGUAGCAGUGAAAUGCGUAGAGAUCGGAAGGAACAUCUGUGGCGAGGGCGACUAUCUGGGCCAACACUGACACUGGGGCACGAAAGCGUGGGGAGCAAACAGGAUUAGAUACCCGCGUAGUCCCUGUCUCUUAUAC